This 2191-nucleotide unclassified non-coding RNA is filed under the name Diabrotica virgifera virgifera (western corn rootworm). RNAcentral's name for it is "gastrula zinc finger protein xLCGF3.1". Lineage: Eukaryota; Metazoa; Arthropoda; Insecta; Coleoptera; Chrysomelidae. The record is from RNAcentral.
AAAUUUCGACCAAUCACGUGCCGAAUUUCAUACAAUUUUCGAUACAAGAACUUGCAUAGUGUCAUACAGGGCACACAUGUACGUACAAGAAAUGAUACAAGAAAAUGUAUACAAGAAACGAUAUCAGAAACGAUAUUAGAAAUGAUACAAGAAAAUGCAUAGUGUCAUACAGCCUUUAGUAAUGGCAUGCUCCACUUGUCGUCGACUAGUCCCUGACUGUCUCUGCGAAUACACUUAUUAAUUGCCUCCCAGCGGUGACAUAAACGUCAAAGUCUUGAAAUGCCCUAUACGGAUUGACCGACACUGACACCUGACAGUUCAAUAAUUCAUCUCAUCGUUUGUUUGUGGUUUGUUUAUUUGUUUGUUUAGUUUAUGUUUAUUGUUUAUCUCUUAGAGAUAAACUUUUUAUAAAAUUUUAGAAUAUAAAAACUUUAAAACUUAUAAAGUAUUAUACUGUGGAUAAUAUGAAAUGAUGCCCAAUGAAUUAAGAAGAAAAAAACAAUGGAGCAAUAAUAAUUUGGCUUCUUUUUAAGUAUUAAUAUAUUUGCUAUAUUAAUUUAAAAUAUACCAAUCAAAUGGAAUUUAUGGAAAAUACAUGUAAAAUAGAAAUAGAUAAUGAGGUGGAAAAUGCCCUUCUGCAUACCUUUAAAAUUGGAAUUAAGGAGGAACGGGAGCUGGAUGAUACUUUUGAUGAUUUGGAGGAUAAGACAUAUCCUUUAAAAACAGAAGUAGAAUACAAUGAAGAUAAAGUUUGUCUCCUUCAAGUACAAGAAACACAUAAAAGUUUCAAAUGUGAAGAUCGACUGACUGAUGAAAACAACGAAUUACAAAAUCAUGUUAUAAAUAACCAAUUGAACCAAUAUAAAACUGAUGGUAGGAAGGUGAAUACUGUUGAAAAAUCCUUUGCUUGUCAAAUUUGUUCUAAAAAGUAUGCAGUAAAGCAGAGUUUAAGAAGACAUUUGAUGGAGCAUCACACUAAAGAAACAUCUUUCACAUAUGAACCCUACUCGAAAAAAAGAAAACACGAAGUUUACACUAAUAUGCACUCUUCUGAAAAACAUUUUAUAUGUGAAAUUUGUAAUAGACAACUCGUAACAAAUCGCAAUUUAAAACAACAUAUGGCAGUGCAUACUGGUGAAAAACCAUUUGGAUGUGAAAUAUGCAAAAGACAAUUUACACAAAGUACUUACUUAAAAGUUCAUAUGAGAACGCACACUGGUGAAAAACCAUUUGGAUGUGAAGUAUGCACAAAAAAAUUUUCCCAAGUUGCUAAUUUAAAAGUUCAUAUGAGAACGCACAUUGGUGAAAAGCCAUUUGGAUGUCAAGUGUGCACAAAACAGUUUAUAACAAAUGCUCAAUUAAAAAGACAUAUGGUGGUGCAUACUGGUGAAAAACCAUUUCGAUGUGAAAAUUGCACCACCGAGUUUUCGCAAAGUUCUGAUUUAAAAAUACAUUUGAGAAUUCACACUGGAGAAAAACUAUUUGGAUGUGAAAUAUGUACAAAACAAUUUUCAAGACGGGUUCAAUUAAGAGAGCAUAUGGUGGUGCAUACUGGUGAAAGACCAUUUGGAUGUGAAAUAUGCACAAAACAGUUUUCAAGACGGGCUGACUUAAAAGUACAUAUGAUAGUGCAUACUGGUGAAAAACCAUUUGAAUGUGAAAUAUGCACAAAACAGUUUACACGAAGUGCUGACUUAAAAAGGCAUACGAUGGUGCAUACUGGUGAAAAACCAUUUGGGUGUGAAAUAUGCACCAAAAAGUUUUCAAGACGGGCUCACUUAAAAGUACAUAAUAUGAUGGUGCAUACUGGUGAAAAACCAUUUGGAUGCUAAAUUUGCUCCAAAGAGUUUUCUCGAAAUUCUGAUUUAAAAAUACAUUUGAGAAUUCACACUGGAUAGAAAUGUGAAAUAUGUUGUACAAAACGGUUUUCACAAAAUGCUCACCCAAAAGUUCACAAACAAAACAUACUGGAAAAAAACCUUGCAUGUAAUAACUGCAUCAGGCAAAGGAACACAUGAAAAUACACACUGCAAGCAGAAUAUAAUGUGAAAACUGAUAUCAUUCUUACACAUCCGUAUGAAAAUGUAUUUAUCACGUUGGCAUGUCAGGUAUUAAGCGCGUUAUGUUUUAGAUAUUUAUCUUUUGGAAUUGGGUGGAACUAUUAUAUAUAUAAAUAAACACGAAAAUAAAU